GUCUCCGUAGCUCAGUUGGUAGAGCAAUUGACUCUUAAUCAAUGGGUCUAGGGUUCGAGUCCCUACGGGGACA
RNAcentral lists this transfer RNA (73 nucleotides) under Pinibacter aurantiacus. It matches the Rfam family "tRNA". Rfam says of the family: Transfer RNA (tRNA) molecules are approximately 80 nucleotides in length. The record is from Rfam by way of RNAcentral. RNAcentral also lists the same sequence under 2 other names. Lineage: Bacteria; Pseudomonadati; Bacteroidota; Chitinophagia; Chitinophagales; Chitinophagaceae.